RNAcentral lists this ribosomal RNA (253 nucleotides) under uncultured bacterium. Its description in RNAcentral is "partial 16S ribosomal RNA". It matches the Rfam family "Bacterial small subunit ribosomal RNA", at positions 524 to 776 of the family's 1533-position model. The record is from RNAcentral.
UACGAAGGGGGCUAGCGUUGUUCGGAUUUACUGGGCGUAAAGCGCACGUAGGCGGGUCGUUAAGUCGGGGGGGAAAUCCUGGAGCUCAACUCCAGAACUGCCUUCGAUACUGGCGACCUAGAGUCCGGAAGAGGUGAGUGGAACUCCUAGUGUAGAGGUGGAAUUCGUAGAUAUUCGGAAGAACACCAGUGGCGAAGGCGGCUCACUGGCCCGGUACUGACGCUGAGGUGCGAAAGCGUGGGGAGCAAACAGG